UACGGGGGGGGCAAGCGUUGUUCGGAAUCACUGGGCGUAAAGCGCACGUAGGCGGCUUCUUAAGUCAGGGGUGAAAUCCUGGAGCUCAACUCCAGAACUGCCUUUGAUACUGAGAAGCUUGAGUCCGGGAGAGGUGAGUGGAACUGCGAGUGUAGAGGUGAAAUUCGUAGAUAUUGGGAAGAACACCAGUGGCGAAGGCGGCUCACUGGCCCGUAACUGACGCUGAGGUGCGAAAGCGUGGGGAGCAAACAGG
This 253-nucleotide ribosomal RNA is filed under the name uncultured bacterium. RNAcentral describes it as "partial 16S ribosomal RNA". It matches the Rfam family "Bacterial small subunit ribosomal RNA", at positions 524 to 776 of the family's 1533-position model. The record is from RNAcentral.